This 1042-nucleotide ribosomal RNA is filed under the name Streptomyces exfoliatus. RNAcentral's name for it is "bacterial SSU rRNA". It matches the Rfam family "Bacterial small subunit ribosomal RNA", at positions 322 to 1367 of the family's 1533-position model. Lineage: Bacteria; Bacillati; Actinomycetota; Actinomycetes; Kitasatosporales; Streptomycetaceae. The record is from RNAcentral.
AGACACGGCCCAGACUCCUACGGGAGGCAGCAGUGGGGAAUAUUGCACAAUGGGCGAAAGCCUGAUGCAGCGACGCCGCGUGAGGGAUGACGGCCUUCGGGUUGUAAACCUCUUUCAGCAGGGAAGAAGCGAAAGUGACGGUACCUGCAGAAGAAGCGCCGGCUAACUACGUGCCAGCAGCCGCGGUAAUACGUAGGGCGCAAGCGUUGUCCGGAAUUAUUGGGCGUAAAGAGCUCGUAGGCGGCUUGUCACGUCGGUUGUGAAAGCCCGGGGCUUAACCCCGGGUCUGCAGUCGAUACGGGCAGGCUAGAGUUCGGUAGGGGAGAUCGGAAUUCCUGGUGUAGCGGUGAAAUGCGCAGAUAUCAGGAGGAACACCGGUGGCGAAGGCGGAUCUCUGGGCCGAUACUGACGCUGAGGAGCGAAAGCGUGGGGAGCGAACAGGAUUAGAUACCCUGGUAGUCCACGCCGUAAACGGUGGGCACUAGGUGUGGGCAACAUUCCACGUUGUCCGUGCCGCAGCUAACGCAUUAAGUGCCCGCCUGGGGAGUACGGGCCGCAAGGCUAAAACUCAAAGGAAUUGACGGGGGGCCCGCACAAGCGGCGGAGCAUGUGGCUUAAUUCGACGCAACGCGAAGAACCUUACCAAAGGCUUGACAUACACCGGAAACGUCUGGAGACAGGCGCCCCCUUGUGGUCGGUGUACAGGUGGUGCAUGGCUGUCGUCAGCUCGUGUCGUGAGAUGUUGGGUUAAGUCCCGCAACGAGCGCAACCCUUGUCCCGUGUUGCCAGCAGGCCCUUGUGGUGCUGGGGACUCACGGGAGACCGCCGGGGUCAACUCGGAGGAAGGUGGGGACGACGUCAAGUCAUCAUGCCCCUUAUGUCUUGGGCUGCACACGUGCUACAAUGGCCGGUACAAUGAGCUGCGAUACCGCGAGGUGGAGCGAAUCUCAAAAAGCCGGUCUCAGUUCGGAUUGGGGUCUGCAACUCGACCCCAUGAAGUCGGAGUCGCUAGUAAUCGCAGAUCAGCAUUGCUGCGGUGAAU